RNAcentral lists this ribosomal RNA (1374 nucleotides) under uncultured bacterium. RNAcentral's name for it is "bacterial SSU rRNA". It matches the Rfam family "Bacterial small subunit ribosomal RNA", at positions 28 to 1381 of the family's 1533-position model. The record is from RNAcentral.
GAUGAACGCUGGCGGCGUGCCUAAUACAUGCAAGUCGAGCGAACGGACGAGAAGCUUGCUUCUCUGAUGUUAGCGGCGGACGGGUGAGUAACACGUGGAUAACCUACCUAUAAGACUGGGAUAACUUCGGGAAACCGGAGCUAAUACCGGAUAAUAUUUUGAACCGCAUGGUUCAAAAGUGAAAGACGGUCUUGCUGUCACUUAUAGAUGGAUCCGCGCUGCAUUAGCUAGUUGGUAAGGUAACGGCUUACCAAGGCAACGAUGCAUAGCCGACCUGAGAGGGUGAUCGGCCACACUGGAACUGAGACACGGUCCAGACUCCUACGGGAGGCAGCAGUAGGGAAUCUUCCGCAAUGGGCGAAAGCCUGACGGAGCAACGCCGCGUGAGUGAUGAAGGUCUUCGGAUCGUAAAACUCUGUUAUUAGGGAAGAACAUAUGUGUAAGUAACUGUGCACAUCUUGACGGUACCUAAUCAGAAAGCCACGGCUAACUACGUGCCAGCAGCCGCGGUAAUACGUAGGUGGCAAGCGUUAUCCGGAAUUAUUGGGCGUAAAGCGCGCGUAGGCGGUUUUUUAAGUCUGAUGUGAAAGCCCACGGCUCAACCGUGGAGGGUCAUUGGAAACUGGAAAACUUGAGUGCAGAAGAGAAAAGUGGAAUUCCAUGUGUAGCGGUGAAAUGCGCAGAGAUAUGGAGGAACACCAGUGGGCGAAGGCGACUUUCUGGUCUGUAACUGACGCUGAUGUGCGAAAGCGUGGGGAUCAAACAGGAUUAGAUACCCUGGUAGUCCACGCCGUAAACGAUGAGUGCUAAGUGUUAGGGGGUUUCCGCCCCUUAGUGCUGCAGCUAACGCAUUAAGCACUCCGCCUGGGGAGUACGACCGCAAGGUUGAAACUCAAAGGAAUUGACGGGGACCCGCACAAGCGGUGGAGCAUGUGGUUUAAUUCGAAGCAACGCGAAGAACCUUACCAAAUCUUGACAUCCUUUGACAACUCUAGAGAUAGAGCCUUCCCCUUCGGGGGGGCAAAGUGACAGGUGGUGCAUGGUUGUCGUCAGCUCGUGUCGUGAGAUGUUGGGUUAAGUCCCGCAACGAGCGCAACCCUUAAGCUUAGUUGCCAUCAUUAAGUUGGGCACUCUAAGUUGACUGCCGGUGACAAACCGGAGGAAGGUGGGGAUGACGUCAAAUCAUCAUGCCCCUUAUGAUUUGGGCUACACACGUGCUACAAUGGACAAUACAAAGGGCAGCGAAACCGCGAGGUCAAGCAAAUCCCAUAAAGUUGUUCUCAGUUCGGAUUGUAGUCUGCAACUCGACUACAUGAAGCUGGAAUCGCUAGUAAUCGUAGAUCAGCAUGCUACGGUGAAUACGUUCCCGGGUCU